AAUUGCUCGGCUGUUUCACAUAUUAGACCCUGCAACAACAAAACAGAUCACAUGUCUAUUACCACUGAGGAAAAAGAUAGUGGGAAGAAGCCCCUAUUUGCACUUUUUCGUUUAUACAUACAGUGCAGCAGCAGUGGCGUGAGACUCUGGGGUCUGGCUCUCUUUGUUUUCUGUUGCAUCAGGAACUUCCCCCACUGGAAAAGAUGAACUCACAGACUCUGCUUCAAGAGAUGGCUGUUCCAAUGCAAAUUGUGUCGAGCUCUGCGUCUGGUUUUCUUUGCUGAACUGUGUAGUUUUCACUUCUGAAAGAAGCUCCUCUUCUGUCAAAAAUGAAUUCACAGAUUCCGUCACAAGCAACAUAGAUAAAGGAC
Molecule: non-coding RNA, 371 nt
Organism: Carica papaya (papaya)
Lineage: Eukaryota; Viridiplantae; Streptophyta; Magnoliopsida; Brassicales; Caricaceae
Source: RefSeq, a predicted model, not a curated record